Lingula anatina is the source of this 356-nucleotide long non-coding RNA. The record is from RefSeq and is a predicted model, not a curated record. Lineage: Eukaryota; Metazoa; Brachiopoda; Lingulata; Lingulida; Lingulidae.
UGUAUUUUUUCAGAGGGUGGCAUCAGUUGCGAGGUAUUUCUCCUGCAUAUUCGAUUCAGAUUGUACAAAAAUCAAGCUGUCCGACAGUAGAUGUUAUAGUGUAAUUUGUCCACCAACGGUAUUCAUGGAUUCCAAUGAGACGAACACAAUUUGCGUAUAUAACAUACCUCCUGGCAUCACAAAAGACGACCUUUCCCGACACUUUGAAGAACAAGGGGAGGUAAAGGGAAUAGCCUUUCCAUACAGGCGGCAGAACAACAAAGCAAAAAUAACAUUUAAAGAUGCCACAGCGGCCGGUCAAGCACUGAAGAAUAAAGAGCAAGUGAUAAAUGGACAGGCCUUGAUCCUGAUACCAG